Molecule: ribosomal RNA, 561 nt
Filed under: uncultured bacterium
Lineage: Bacteria
Description: partial 16S ribosomal RNA
Rfam family: Bacterial small subunit ribosomal RNA
Source: RNAcentral
UGGGGAAUAUUGGACAAUGGGCGCAAGCCUGAUCCAGCAAUGCCGCGUGGGUGAAGAAGGUCUUCGGAUCGUAAAGCCCUUUCGGCGGGGACGAUGAUGACGGUACCCGCAGAAGAAGCCCCGGCUAACUUCGUGCCAGCAGCCGCGGUAAUACGAAGGGGGCUAGCGUUACUCGGAAUUACUGGGCGUAAAGGGCGCGUAGGCGGCGCUGCAAGUUAGGCGUGAAAGCCCUGGGCUCAACCUGGGGACUGCGCUUAAGACUGCGGUGCUUGAGGAUGGAAGAGGGUUGUGGAAUUCCCAGUGUAGAGGUGAAAUUCGUAGAUAUUGGGAAGAACACCGGUGGCGAAGGCGGCAACCUGGUCCAUUUCUGACGCUGAGGCGCGAUAGCGUGGGGAGCAAACAGGAUUAGAUACCCUGGUAGUCCACGCCGUAAACGAUGUGCGCUGGAUGUUGGGUGACCUAGUCACUCAGUGUCGUAGCUAACGCGGUAAGCGCACCGCCUGGGGAGUACGGCCGCAAGGUUGAAACUCAAAUGAAUUGACGGGGUCAUAGCUGUUUCCU